This 495-nucleotide ribosomal RNA is filed under the name uncultured bacterium. RNAcentral describes it as "partial 16S ribosomal RNA". It matches the Rfam family "Bacterial small subunit ribosomal RNA", at positions 28 to 507 of the family's 1533-position model. The record is from RNAcentral.
GACGAACGCUGGCGGCGUGCCUAAUACAUGCAAGUAGAACGCUGAAGGAGGAGCUUGCUUCUCUGGAUGAGUUGCGAACGGGUGAGUAACGCGUAGGUAACCUGCCUGGUAGCGGGGGAUAACUAUUGGAAACGAUAGCUAAUACCGCAUAAUAGUAGAUGUUGCAUGACAUUUGCUUAAAAGGUGCAAUUGCAUCACUACCAGAUGGACCUGCGUUGUAUUAGCUAGUUGGUGGGGUAACGGCUCACCAAGGCGACGAUACAUAGCCGACCUGAGAGGGUGAUCGGCCACACUGGGACUGGGACACGGCCCAGACCCCUACGGGAGGCAGCAGUAGGGAAUCUUCGGCAAUGGACGGAAGGCUGACCGAGCAACGCCGCGGGAGGGAAGAAGGGUGUCGGAUCGUAAAGCUCUGUUGUAAGAGAAGAACGAGUGUGAGAGUGGAAAGUUCACACUGUGACGGUAUCUUACCAGAAAGGGACGGCUAACUACGUG